CUUCUGUUAAUCGUCCUAAUAUAUACUAUGAAGUUAGAUACAAAGAUCGAUUGGAAGAUAGGUUUACUGAUGUAUAUGAUACACUCUUUUCUAUGGGAGAAGUGUGCGCAAUAAUUUAUUGCCCCACACAGUCAAUGUGUGAUAACUUGACAGCUUAUCUAUCACACAGAGGCAUUUCUUGUGCUGCUUAUCAUGCAGGAAUGAACAGUGAAGAUCGGACUUCUGUGCUACAUAAAUGGAUUUCUUCCAUACCAAAAGUUGCUGUUGGCACUGUUGACAACAAGCAGCCCAAAGU
This is an RNA transcript of Medicago truncatula (barrel medic), 295 nucleotides long. RefSeq lists it as uncharacterized. NCBI's taxonomy places the organism in Eukaryota, Viridiplantae, Streptophyta, Magnoliopsida, Fabales, Fabaceae. The record is from RefSeq and is a predicted model, not a curated record. The transcript has 3 exons.